This 149-nucleotide small RNA is filed under the name Pongo abelii (Sumatran orangutan). RNAcentral's name for it is "Metazoan signal recognition particle RNA (ENSPPYG00000038868.1)". Lineage: Eukaryota; Metazoa; Chordata; Mammalia; Primates; Hominidae. The record is from RNAcentral.
GCCAGGAGUGGUGGCGCAUGCCUGUAAUCCCAUCUACUUGGGAGGCUGAGACAGGAGAAUCACUUGAACCCAGGAGGUGGAGGUUGCAGUGAGCUGAGAUCCUGCCACUGCCCUCCAGCCUGGGCGACACAGUGAGACUCUGUCUCGAU